This is a long non-coding RNA of Paramormyrops kingsleyae, 1121 nucleotides long. RefSeq lists it as uncharacterized. NCBI's taxonomy places the organism in Eukaryota, Metazoa, Chordata, Actinopteri, Osteoglossiformes, Mormyridae. The record is from RefSeq and is a predicted model, not a curated record.
UCUAUUAUCGCGUAACCUAGUACAUUUCUUUAUUUUAAAAUAUAUAUUUUUAAAUGGACUACCCAAGUGCUAGUUCUAAGAAAGUAAAUAUAUAUUGUACAAAGAAAAGUACAUCGACUAAAUUAACAUAUAUGAAUUAAAUAAUCACUACAGUAAUAGGCUACAUGUGAACUGAUAAUUACGGUUGGUCACCCAGUCCCUCGAGCCGUACUUGAUACAGGUGAUAAAUAAAUGACGUCUAGGUGAGGCUGUGAACCCAUGAACUAUGGCCUUGAGAAAGGGGCAGACAUUACAGGAGACAUGUUUUUAUAGUGUAUACUGAUCAUCGUUUUGUAUACUGCUCGUUUCUGGCUGGGUUUAAAUCCAUUAUGUGAUUUUUCCCGUAUGCUAAUGACGAUAUAAUAUAUAGGUAGAAGAGCAGUGGUCAGGCAGUACUUCAUAGCUGGCAGUAUUGUGUUUGGAAAACGUUAGUUCUAACGAAAUAAUAAGGCACUGAAAGACCAAACGCAGAAAACGACUCUGCUGAGAAAUAGAAGAUCAGUGGUCAUUGUUGACACACAGCACAAUGUGUCUUCUGCAUUUAACCCACAUGUGACAUUGUGACAGCAGGGGGCAGCUAAUUCACACCCAGGGAGCAGUGCCUUGCUCAGAGUACCUCAGUGGUGCCUUGCUGGUCAGAGAUUCAAACCAGCAAUCUUUCAAUUACAAGUGUGCUUCCCUAACCAUUAACCCACCAAUGCCCACUACCACUCCACACGAUCAUGAGACCACCCAUGCAGACCAUUCCCUAAAUCCAGAGGCGCAAGAACAAGGGCUUUGCUGCAAGUGGAUGAAGAAAAUAUUUCAGCAAUGUGGAGGAUCCCUUGUGUGAUGUAGCUGAUCCUGCUUCUGAUUUUUUGGAAGGAAAUGCUUGAAGCUUGAAUACAGCUCAGAUAGAUAGCAGAGGAUGAAAGAGCUGCUGCAUUCUACCUGCAAAGGAAGGAGGUUCUGGACAGACCGUCACCUGGGAACAGCCCCUUUCUGCUGUUUGGGCAUAGAAGAGGUGGAGGGGGGACAAUUAGGGGGGUAAAUUAGGAGACAAGUAACUUUGAAAUAACUUGUCAUUAAAAUUUUAUUGUCAU